Molecule: long non-coding RNA, 952 nt
Organism: Lathyrus oleraceus (garden pea)
Lineage: Eukaryota; Viridiplantae; Streptophyta; Magnoliopsida; Fabales; Fabaceae
Exons: 3
Source: RefSeq, a predicted model, not a curated record
CAACAUUGGCCACCUCUGCUCUUGAAGUCACAAUCCACAAGCUGAAACGAACAAAAUUCUUCUGCAAAAUCAUGAUCGAAACGCAUACAAGCAUCGCGGCUUCCCUACAGAAGAACUCUCCACUGGCCACGAGCUCCGCCAAUGGAGGCGGCGGAGAUGAAUUCAAACCCAAACAAGCUAUUACUACGUCCUUUACCCUCACUCUUGAGCUCAAACAAUCGGAGAUUAACGGACAUUUUCAACGACUCAAACCUAAACCCUAGGAACUUAGUUCGAAAUUCCUAAUGCUACACGGUGGUGUUGGCAAACAGAUCAAGAAAAAGAUCAAGAAAAACAAUCGGUUACAAAUAAAUUUGAAGGUGAAAUUGCAGAUGGAUGAGAGAAAGGAAACAAGAUGAGUCUUCGACCAUGGGUGAUUGCGGAGUUUCCGGUCCUAGAAUGGGGAUGCUCCAUGCAGAAAACUAUAAUGCAGGACUGAAGAACUCAGAAAACUAUAAUGCAGGACUGAAGAACGAAUGCUGCAGAAUGUUCGGUUGCAGAAACAGGGAAAAAACUCCAAGUUGAAGAAGAUGAUGAAGCCGAGAUUGAGAGAGAUUGAAGAUGGGCGAGUGAAGAUUCUUGCUGAAAGCAGCUUCACAAAUGGAGUGUGGAGAAUGCCGGGAAUAGAAGAUUGGAAUUCUGUGAUGAAAAGAGAUUGUGGUGCAGAUUGCAGAAUCAAAAAAUCCUCAGGUUGCAGAGUGGUCGAUUGAAUCGAAUGUUUAUGGACUAAUGCUUGCAUAUGGAUCGGCUUUGGAGGUUGAUUUGGGAGGCAUUUGGAAGGCGAAAGCAAUAUCUCAGUAUCUCAUUGCAAUAACAUAGAUGGAUUUGUUUGCUUCACAAUUAUUAGUAUAUUUGCUUUCAAAAGCCAGUUUCACAUUUAAUAUAAUGAAAUCUUUAUAUGUAUUAGUUUCCA